AAACCAUGGUGAGGACAUUCUAAGAGGAGGUUUUUAAAUCUUUCCAUGAAUUUAGAAAAGGACUCAUGUGGUUUCUGCAUGAACUAGAAUAUGUCACUCUUGAGUUU
This is a small nucleolar RNA of Telopea speciosissima, 107 nucleotides long. The record is from RefSeq and is a predicted model, not a curated record. NCBI's taxonomy places the organism in Eukaryota, Viridiplantae, Streptophyta, Magnoliopsida, Proteales, Proteaceae.